AAAGAUUAAGCCAUGCAUGUCUAAGUAUAAACAAUUUUGUACUGUGAAACUGCGAAUGGCUCAUUAUAUCAGUUAUAGUCUACUCGAUAGUACCUUACUACUUGGAUAACCGUAGUAAUUCUAGAGCUAAUACAUGCAUAAAUACCCAACUGCUUGUCGGGCGGGUAGCAUUUAUUAGAUUGAAACCAAUGCAGUCUUCGGGCUGGUAUUGUGUUGAGUCAUAAUAACCGUGCGGAUCGCACUUUGUGCGAUAAAUCGAUUGAGUUUCUGCCCUAUCAGCUUUGGAUGGUAGGAUAAGGGCCUACCAUGGUUU
RNAcentral lists this ribosomal RNA (313 nucleotides) under uncultured stramenopile. RNAcentral's name for it is "SSU rRNA". It matches the Rfam family "Eukaryotic small subunit ribosomal RNA", at positions 39 to 352 of the family's 1831-position model. The record is from RNAcentral.